Sinocyclocheilus rhinocerous is the source of this 246-nucleotide long non-coding RNA. RefSeq lists it as uncharacterized. The record is from RefSeq and is a predicted model, not a curated record. NCBI's taxonomy places the organism in Eukaryota, Metazoa, Chordata, Actinopteri, Cypriniformes, Cyprinidae. The transcript is spliced from 5 exons.
ACAGUGAAAGAGGCCACACCCACUAUACAGGAGGCGGAGUCAGUGACACCUCGUAGCCCCUCCUCUGCCAGUACCUGGGGAGAGCCAACAGAAGUGAAUCCCGGGCUGUUCCUGGACUCUCCUACCGACAGUCCCUUUGCCAAUCCUGCUUUUCCCACAUUGAGAGAAAUUAACAUUGACAGUAUUCAGGCCCCAGAGCCCAGAACCAAAGAUGAGUUCUUGCAAUAUGCUUGUGAUUUGCCCCUG